AGAUCUGUAGCUUAAUUAGAUAAAGUAUGUAACUACGAAAUACACGAUGAAGGUUUAAUUCCUUUCAGAUCUU
Transfer RNA from Theileria parva strain Muguga, 73 nucleotides. It matches the Rfam family "tRNA". Rfam says of the family: Transfer RNA (tRNA) molecules are approximately 80 nucleotides in length. Their secondary structure includes four short double-helical elements and three loops (D, anti-codon, and T loops). NCBI's taxonomy places the organism in Eukaryota, Apicomplexa, Aconoidasida, Piroplasmida, Theileriidae. The record is from Rfam.